Molecule: ribosomal RNA, 465 nt
Filed under: bacterium FB2002
Lineage: Bacteria
Description: bacterial SSU rRNA
Rfam family: Bacterial small subunit ribosomal RNA
Source: RNAcentral
GAUGAACGCUGGCGGCGUGCCUAACACAUGCAAGUCGAACGGAGUUUAGCGCUGAUGAAGCUUCGGCAGAUUCUUGUUAAACUUAGUGGCGGACGGGUGAGUAACGCGUGGGUAACCUGCCUCAUACAGGGGGAUAGCAGUUGGAAACGACUGAUAACACCGCAUAAGCGCACGGUAUCGCAUGAUACAGUGUGAAAAUAUUUAUAGGUAUGAGAUGGACCCGCGUCUGAUUAGCUAGUUGGUGAGGUAACGGCCCACCAAGGCGACGAUCAGUAGCCGGCCUGAGAGGGCGGACGGCCACAUUGGGACUGAGACACGGCCCAAACUCCUACGGGAGGCAGCAGUGGGGGAUAUUGCACAAUGGGCGAAAGCCUGAUGCAGCGACGCCGCGUGAGUGAAGAAGUAUUUCGGUAUGUAAAGCUCUAUCAGCAGGGAAGAAAGACCUCGUAAGAGGGGAUGACGUAC